AAAGAUUUGAUUAGGGCACAUGCAAUGCUCAGUUGGUAGAGCAGGCGCCAGUAUAUAGAGGUUAACUCCUCAACGCAACAGGCCCGGGUUUGACUCCGACCUGCGGCCCUUUGCUGCAUGUUAUUCCCUCUCUCUCUCCCCCCUUUCAUAUCUU
This is a long non-coding RNA of Etheostoma spectabile (orangethroat darter), 154 nucleotides long. RefSeq lists it as uncharacterized. NCBI's taxonomy places the organism in Eukaryota, Metazoa, Chordata, Actinopteri, Perciformes, Percidae. The transcript is spliced from 3 exons. The record is from RefSeq and is a predicted model, not a curated record.